Temnothorax curvispinosus is the source of this 757-nucleotide long non-coding RNA. RefSeq lists it as uncharacterized. The transcript is spliced from 4 exons. The record is from RefSeq and is a predicted model, not a curated record. NCBI's taxonomy places the organism in Eukaryota, Metazoa, Arthropoda, Insecta, Hymenoptera, Formicidae.
UAUUUAAUACGCAACAAAAUAUGUAAAACAACACAUUAUAUCUACUUGUAGAGCCGAUUGUCUUGCAUCGAGCAUAAUAUGGAUUGUAGAUACAGCGAUUAUAGGUAUGACAGGACACAUGGUUCCGGUAAUGUAAAAUAUUAAAUACAAUGGUUGCUUUCAGUUCUGUUUGUAAUGAAGACAAGACAUUUCGUUAAUUGUUUGCGAUGAAAUUUAUAUCUUUGUAAUAAAAUAUACAAACAAGCAUUUACGGAAUGGCAAUUGUUUCUUCUCCAUCGAUAUCUCUGAAAUCUGACAUCACACGUGCGACGCGUGACAGAUUCACAAAUGCUUGCGACAGUCGACGACCAAAACAAUGACAGAGGUCGAGUGGUUGUAGCACCUGUGGCAGUGUAAUAGUCUCCCGCCGUUCUUUACGUGAGUUUCGACAAAAGCCCGUUUAUCACAGAUUAGGAACGUAUAUAGGUCACGUUACAGCAUAUAUAUUUACAGGCUUCAGCCUCACGCAGAUACCAGAGCUGGUAGCGACCUAGAAAAGCUUGCAUGGUGUUUGAGUACUAUCGCAUCACGGAUCAAACGGUCGUGGAUGUACGCGGAGUGCAGACGAAUCCUCUAUUUGAUAAACCAGCAUAAACAAUAAAUUACGGGUGAAAUCACAACAUUCCAAACACUAUAUUUAUCCUUUACACUGAAGGAGACUUUGAUAUAACGAGACUGUGUAUAGGCAGAAAUCAUGGAAUCAGAAGCGAGAAAUCAA